Molecule: ribosomal RNA, 198 nt
Filed under: uncultured bacterium
Lineage: Bacteria
Description: partial 16S ribosomal RNA
Rfam family: Bacterial small subunit ribosomal RNA
Source: RNAcentral
GUCUGCAACUCGACUACAUGAAGCUGGAAUCGCUAGUAAUCGCGAAUCAGAAUGUCGCGGUGAAUACGUUCCCGGGUCUUGUACACACCGCCCGUCACACCAUGGGAGUCGGAAAUGCCCGAAGUCAGUGACCUAACCGAAAGGAGGGAGCUGCCGAAGGUGGAGCCGGUAACUGGGGUGAAGUCGUAACAAGGUACC